CGCGGGAUGGAGCAGUUGGUAGCUCGUCGGGCUCAUAACCCGAAGGUCAGAGGUUCAAGUCCUCUUCCCGCAACCA
Molecule: transfer RNA, 76 nt
Filed under: Selenomonas sputigena
Lineage: Bacteria; Bacillati; Bacillota; Negativicutes; Selenomonadales; Selenomonadaceae
Also listed under: 10 other names
Description: tRNA-fMet(cat)
Rfam family: tRNA
About the family: Transfer RNA (tRNA) molecules are approximately 80 nucleotides in length. Their secondary structure includes four short double-helical elements and three loops (D, anti-codon, and T loops). Further hydrogen bonds mediate the characteristic L-shaped molecular structure. tRNAs have two regions of fundamental functional importance: the anti-codon, which is responsible for specific mRNA codon recognition, and the 3' end, to which the tRNAs corresponding amino acid is attached (by aminoacyl-tRNA synthetases). tRNAs cope with the degeneracy of the genetic code in two manners: having more than one tRNA (with a specific anti-codon) for a particular amino acid; and 'wobble' base-pairing, i.e. permitting non-standard base-pairing at the 3rd anti-codon position.
Source: RNAcentral